GACGAACGCUGGCGGCGUGCUUAACACAUGCAAGUCGAACGGAAAGGCCCUGCUUUUGUGGGGUGCUCGAGUGGCGAACGGGUGAGUAACACGUGAGUAACCUGACCUUGACUUUGGGAUAACUUCAGGAAACUGGGGCUAAUACCGGAUAGGAGCUCCUGCUGCAUGGUGGGGGUUGGAAAGUUGCGGCGGUUGCGGAUGGACUCGCGGCUUAUCAGCUUGUUGGUGGGGGAGUGGCUUACCAACGCUUUGACGGGUAGCCGGCCUGAGAGGGUGACCGGCCACAUUGGGACUAAGAGACGGCGCAGUCUCCUACGGGAGGCAGCAGUGGGGAAUAUUGCACAAUGGGCGGGAGUCGGAUGCAGCAACGCCGCGUUCGUGAUGCCGGCCUUCGGGGUGUAAACCGCUGUCGCCUGUGACGAAGCGUGAGUGACGGUAAUGGGUAAAGAAGCACCGGCUAACUACGUG
RNAcentral lists this ribosomal RNA (468 nucleotides) under uncultured bacterium. Its description in RNAcentral is "partial 16S ribosomal RNA". It matches the Rfam family "Bacterial small subunit ribosomal RNA", at positions 28 to 507 of the family's 1533-position model. The record is from RNAcentral.